AAAAGAGAUCACCAUUAAAAUCAAAACACAAUGAGAGGCAUGAAAGAAGUCAAACUGGAGAGAAGAAAGCUUUCAUAUACACUGAAUGUGGUAAAAACCGGUGUAUAUGAGAGUCACCUUCAAAGGCAUGGAAGUACACCUAUGGGAAAGAAAUGUUUACAAUGUAAUCAGUGUGUUAAAGCCUUUGCACAUCACAGUAAUCUUCAAAGGCAUAAAAGAAACCAUACUGGAGAGAAACCCUAUGAAUGUAAUCAAUGUGCUAAAGCCUUUACACAACACAGUACUCUUCAAAAGCAUAAAAGAACAUAUAAUAGUGCAAAAAAUUCUAAAUGUAAUCAGUGUGAUAAAGCCUUUUCCAAACACAGUACUCUUCAAAUACAUAAAAGAACCCAUAUUGGAGGGAAACCCUAUGAAUGUAUUUAAUGUGGUAAAGCCUUUGGAAAACAUUGUCAGCUACAAAUGUAUUUAAGAACACCUACUGGAGAUAAACCUUAUGAAUGUAAUCAAUGUGGUAAAGUCUUUGCAUAUCACCAAACUCUUCAAAUGUAUGAAAGAACACAUACUGGAAAUAAACCGUAUGAAUAUAAUCAAUGUGGUAAAGCCUUUGUACAUCACAAACAUUUUCAAAUACA
Molecule: non-coding RNA, 632 nt
Organism: Peromyscus maniculatus bairdii (prairie deer mouse)
Lineage: Eukaryota; Metazoa; Chordata; Mammalia; Rodentia; Cricetidae
Source: RefSeq, a predicted model, not a curated record